This 378-nucleotide unclassified non-coding RNA is filed under the name uncultured bacterium. Its description in RNAcentral is "contains 16S-23S intergenic spacer region". The record is from RNAcentral.
UCCGGCUUGACGCCGGCAGUCCCCCGAGAGUCCUCAGCUUGACCUGUUAGUAACACGGGGCAAGGGUUGCGCUCGUUGCGGAACUUAACCCAACAUCUCACGGCACGAGCUGACGACAGCCAUGCAGCACCUAGUUUUGUGCCCCGAAGGGAAGACCGGUUUCCCGAUCCGUCACUAACUUUCAAGCCCAGGUAAGGUUCCUCGCGUAUCAUCGAAUUAAACCACAUGCUCCUCCGCUUGUGCGGGCCCCCGUCAAUUCCUUUGAGUUUUAAUCUUGCGACCGUACUCCCCAGGCGGUGUGCUUAAUGCGUUAGCUACGGCACGGAUCCCGUGGAAGGAAACCCACACCUAGCGCCCACCGUUUACGGCGUGGACUAC